This is a non-coding RNA of Pelodiscus sinensis (Chinese soft-shelled turtle), 1324 nucleotides long. Lineage: Eukaryota; Metazoa; Chordata; Testudines; Trionychidae. The record is from RefSeq and is a predicted model, not a curated record.
AGAUUGGAGGCUGCUGAUGGGGGGCUCCUGGCUGGCCCGGCAUGGAGGGAGCAGAGUGGGGUGCGUGGGGGGAAGGGCAGCCCCUCUGCCCUCUGGACAAGAGACCCAACGGGGGAAGCUGCAGCCAAAGGGGCUGGCGUGAGCUGGGCAGUGGGGACGACAGCGCCGUGAGAGAGAUCUUGGACCCUCGCUCAGUGCCUGGGUUGCCAAUGAAGGGGAGCGGGUGGAGCCAGGAGUCCCAAGGACUGAAGGAAAUGCCAGGCACCCGGCUGCUUAGUUUCUCAGAACCGACCAGACAGGUGACUCGGUGGGGCUACCUGCCUGGGGAGAAAACAUCAGACACCCAGGGGGAAGCGGAACAAGAACGGGCACCUAGACGGUGAAGUCCUACAAAUUUGAACCCAGGCUCAUGCUUUUAGAGGCCAGCUGGACUGGCUGAGAGCCAGGGCCCACAGGCUCACGUUCUGAACAGGCCGGGUGACUGACCUCGGGGAACAAGAUCCCCAGGGCCAGUGGUGGGCGCCCCCUCUUCUGGGGUCUGGAGAUCCAGUGGGGUGCCUUUCUGGAAGGGGGGCAUCAACCAGACCCCAGUUACUGGGUUCAACUUCAGUGCAUAGGGAACUGGGAGGAGUUUGCAGGCCUGUGAUGUGCGGGUCAGAUUAGAUGAGUUAAUGGCCCCUCCUGGCCUUAAGGCCUAUGGAUCUAUGAAAACCUGACAUGCCCACCCAGUUGAGUGGGCUGAGAUAAUUCCGUCCCCUUGUCAAUUGCAUCUUAGCACACUUGGCUGUGAUCAGUCCCUGCUGUGUCCUACGUGCCUCUCUUGCGUCCGGAUACAGUUAGACUCCGGAGCAGAGGACAAAGAGGAACCAGGAAGAAAGAGGCUGACAGUCCCCUGUCUCGAGGCCGUUAGAAGAGCUGGGGGAGAGAUUUAGGCAUCCCAGUGAAGGGACCCCCCCCGCUACACCUCUGCUCUGCUGGCGUUCCCCCUCCUGCCCGGGCGCUCUGAAGUGUGUUCGUUCUGGGCGUGGUUGGCUCCGAGCCGGCGAGUCACACGGGCAGGCAAAGACAAUGUCCAUGUGAGGGCUGCUUGCAGGCUGGGAUCGUGCAGGGGCCAGGCAGUCACCUGGCAGCAGAGAGCAGAGCUGGCCGUGGAACGUGGAGCCGGGCCAAGGAACGAGGACAGCUCGCAGAGUGCUGACUCACGAGCCCCGGACCUGGCUGGCCGGGGAGCCGGGACGGUGCCGGCAGCAGGAUCCCGGAACCGCGCGGUCUGUCUCCACAGGAAAGCAGAGGUGGGGAGGGCAGGUUCUGGCUCAGUCCUGGG